This 770-nucleotide ribosomal RNA is filed under the name Cataglyphis emmae. RNAcentral describes it as "partial large subunit ribosomal RNA". The stretch from base 355 to 770 matches the Rfam family "Eukaryotic large subunit ribosomal RNA", at positions 1 to 898 of the family's 3401-position model. Lineage: Eukaryota; Metazoa; Arthropoda; Insecta; Hymenoptera; Formicidae. The record is from RNAcentral.
UCAUCGUCAGCGGCGCUGGCUUCGCGUCGGUGGGCGAUGUCCCGCGGAGUCCUCGCGGCUCUCGCGCGGGCACGCUACCGUGCGUCGAUGUCCGGCGCUCGUCGUCGUGCACUUCUCCCCAAGUAGAACGUCGCGACCCGCUGGGUGUCGGUCUACGGCCCGGGUGCGGUGACUGUCGCGUCGCCGGUAAAACGGCACGCGACAAACCCUCGGUCGCCCGGCCGGCUGCUCGGCGGUACGCGCAAGGUAUCAGGCCGCACUUUAUUUUUAUACGGUGCGUCGAGGCCGUCGCAAGCGCGCGCCACGGUACUCGGAGGUUACGGACUUUGCGCCGUCCCCGGUCCUGGCCCGCUGUUGGUUAAAGUACGGACGGAUCACCUUCGACAGGCCUGUCGAACGUCCCUCUCCCCUCCCCCUCCGGGGGGUGGGGGACGGGGGACAUAUACCGGUCGGCGACGCUACUGCUUUGGGUACUCUUAGGACCCGUCUUGAAACACGGACCAAGGAGUCUAACAUGUACGCGAGUCAUUGGGACUUGUCGCGAGACCUAAAGGCGUAAUGAAAGUGAAGAUCGACCCUGGCCGUCGAUCGAGGGAGGAUGGGCCGCGUCGCGAUGCGGCCUCGCACUCCCUGGGCGUCUCGUUCUCAUCGCGAGAAGAGGCGCACCAAGAGCGUACACGUUGGGACCCGAAAGAUGGUGAACUAUGCCUGGUCAGGACGAAGUCAGGGGAAACCCUGAUGGAGGUCCGUAGCGAUUCUGACGUGCAAAU